ACUUCCUCAGAGCAGUUUACCACCAGAGCCUUCUCUAACGGCUGGUGGGUCAUUGCCUGUUUACCUUGGAUCUGGUCCAUGCCUGUAUUCUGAGUUUCCUGAUGGAGCUGCUUUGGGCCUCCCAGUAGGAAGAAAAGUUCCUGCUCCCUGGACGCUGCCACUGAUGUUUGUUCACCUGACUCCCCACCUGUACCCACUGUAGCUAUAUGUUACCACAUUUCAUCAGGUUCUUUCUCCUGAAACACUGCCAAAUGCCACCUCACCUUUAUAGCCUGAAAGGAAAGUCAGUAAACUUGCACCAAACCUGAUCUCGGCUUCCUGAGCCAAACUUUUGUAACCUGCUUAGAGAUCCUGAGCUGUGGCAGGAGCAUUUCAGCCUGAAGGA
RNAcentral lists this long non-coding RNA (385 nucleotides) under Gallus gallus (chicken). RNAcentral's name for it is "long non-coding RNA NONGGAT004267". Lineage: Eukaryota; Metazoa; Chordata; Aves; Galliformes; Phasianidae. The record is from RNAcentral.